RNAcentral lists this ribosomal RNA (492 nucleotides) under uncultured bacterium. RNAcentral's name for it is "partial 16S ribosomal RNA". It matches the Rfam family "Bacterial small subunit ribosomal RNA", at positions 29 to 507 of the family's 1533-position model. The record is from RNAcentral.
AGUGAACGCUGGCGGUAGGCCUAACACAUGCAAGUCGAACGGCAGCACAGUAAGAGCUUGCUCUUACGGGUGGCGAGUGGCGGACGGGUGAGGAAUACAUCGGAAUCUACUUUUUCGUGGGGGAUAACGUAGGGACACUUACGCUAAUACCGCAUACGACCUACGGGUGAAAGCAUGGGAUCUUCGGACCUUGCGCGAUUGAAUGAGCCGAUGUCGGAUUAGCUAGUUGGCGGGGUAAAGGCCCACCAAGGCGACGAUCCGUAGCUGGUCUGAGAGGAUGAUCAGCCACACUGGAACUGAGACACGGUCCAGACUCCUACGGGAGGCAGCAGUGGGGAAUAUUGGACAAUGGGCGCAAGCCUGAUCCAGCCAUACCGCGUGGGUGAAGAAGGCCUUCGGGUUGUAAAGCCCUUUUGUUGGGAAAGAAAAGCAGCAGGUUAAUACCCCGCUGUUCUGACGGUACCCAAAGAAGAAGCACCGGCUAACUUCGUG